UUGAUGGUCCUGCCUUAGGGAGACAAGCUUACCCAUAAAUUGUUAGCCAAUAAUUCCUUAGAUAUACACCUUUGCACAAAAUGUCAAAUUAUGUUACCAAGGAAUUAGUAUAAAUAAAGCAAUUGUAAGGCACAAUGGAGAUAUGAAAACUUAAGCUUACCUUCCACUCUUACCUUGUCUGGAGGUGCUGGCCUCGAAUCCAAUUUUUCUCUUCGAUUUUCUGUAUCAAAUACACAGCAUCAGUAGUAUACAAUAAUACCCUAGGGUAUAUAUAUUCAAAACUAGAAGUGUAUAAUUGUCGACGAUCUGGCCUGUAUAAUCGUCGACGACAACCAUGACAGUGCUGGUGUGCUUCACGACGGCAACCAACUUAGAGAGACAAGCUUAAGGGCGCAAAAUGAGUGAGGUAAUGCGGGCUAGAGUAGAGUGCAAGUAUGCUAGGGAAAAAGAUGAAAAUUUACUUCAGAUUCAAAGACGGUGUUUAUAAAACCCGUCUUUGGAUAAUGCAGUUCAACAACGGUGUCCACUAAACCCGUUUUUGUAACGCGCAGAUGACGUUGUUUUCAACAAAAACGUAGUUGAAAUAAAUCUCUUAUUUACUAUAAUGCCACCGCCUCUAAAACAACAUCAUUUUUGGAACCACCGUUGUUGAAUGCGCAUCGUAGAAUACUAUUAUUUUAGUAGUAUUUAUUGCUUUCUCACACAGCCCAGUACAUUACUUUUUUGUUGUUG
Molecule: long non-coding RNA, 732 nt
Filed under: Glycine max (soybean)
Lineage: Eukaryota; Viridiplantae; Streptophyta; Magnoliopsida; Fabales; Fabaceae
Description: long non-coding RNA (GMAX_LNC000489)
Source: RNAcentral